AUCUAGCUAACGAGUCCAAAAUAGGACGAAACGCGCGUCCUGGAU
RNAcentral lists this non-coding RNA (45 nucleotides) under Schistosoma margrebowiei. The record is from RNAcentral. Lineage: Eukaryota; Metazoa; Platyhelminthes; Trematoda; Strigeidida; Schistosomatidae.